GAAAGAGGGAAGACAUGAGGCAAAGGUCAGCAGGCCAGGAUUUGAUCCUGCGACGGCCACAUCUGGGACCAAGGCCUCCUUAUUUGGGUUGUGCUUAACCCCUGUGCCACCACAGAACCCCGACACAUUUUUAUAGCUAAACUCUUGAGAAUUUCUGGAAAUAAAAUCCUCCGUUAACGGUUUAAAUCAUCUAGAUUUAAUGGAUCUGAAUGGUGCGUCCAGCUGCAGAAUAAACCUGAUGGUUAGAAACUUUCUGUUUUCCAGACUCUAACUUUCCUCUGGCUGCUGCUGUGACCUUUGGAGUCCUGCUGGUGGUCACCACCCUCAUCCUCCUCAUCUUCAUCAUUAAAAGGAAGCGAACAGCAGCAGGGAGUUCAAACAUCAGGAGAGGAGAAACAGAGCUGAAGACUGAUCACAUCUACAGCAGCAUCCUGCCGCCUCUUCAGCAGGAAACAGGAAGUCAGAAACAGGAAGUAGAGGCUGAGGAGAUGAGCUACGCUUCGGUCCAGUUCAAACACAACAAACUGGACAGAAAAGCAGAAGAACUGGAUCAGACCAUCUACUCUUCAGUAGCCACCAGAGGCUGAGGUCACGACCCGCGACCUCCCAUUUUAAUGUGGCUGUGCUGAAUCAACCAGCAACACCUUCUGGUUUAACCUCAACACAGAAGAAGAAGCAGCUGUCUGGAAGAGCUGUGCUGCAGAUUAGCCUCACAUGGAUAUUAAUCCUCCAUCCUGCUGCAGCAGAAGCUCAAACUGUUUCUGUUUGAGAAACCGGGUCAGAACUGAAGGAAUCACAAUGCUCAAGCAGAGCAGAAAUAUUUAACAGACAGCGUUAGAAACUGGAUGGGAUAUAAAUCAUGUCACCAAAUGAAAUUAUGGUGCUGACAAAACAAAAACAGCCUUUAAAUGUGACCCAGUUCCUGUUGCUUAACUUUUAUUCCUGAGAUCUGUAAAUAUUUUCAAACACAAGAUAAAUUAUGCUUUAACAAGAGACUGUAUAGAAUAUGUAAAUAGUAUAAAAUAAUAUAACAAAUAUAUAAAGUUGUGCAGUA
Molecule: long non-coding RNA, 1054 nt
Organism: Poecilia latipinna (sailfin molly)
Lineage: Eukaryota; Metazoa; Chordata; Actinopteri; Cyprinodontiformes; Poeciliidae
Exons: 4
Source: RefSeq, a predicted model, not a curated record